This 178-nucleotide non-coding RNA is filed under the name Acholeplasma brassicae. The record is from RNAcentral. Lineage: Bacteria; Bacillati; Mycoplasmatota; Mollicutes; Acholeplasmatales; Acholeplasmataceae. RNAcentral also lists the same sequence under 1 other name.
AUGAAUUAAACACAAAUAGGUGUGCGUAUUUUCACUUAAUAGAGGAAUUAGGUUUAAGGCCUAAGCUGUCCCAGCAACCGUAGGGUGGACGAAGUUUCAUAACCACUGUGACUUGUCACGGGAAGGGAAACUAAGAAUGAAACCGAGCCGGUAGACUUGCCUAUUGUAAAAGUUAAGA